CCCAUCCCAUGCCAGCUCUCUGCCAUCCUUCUCUGCAGGCCUGAGACUCCUGAGGUCAGAGACCACAGCAGGAUCCCAAGGGGUGCAGCCUGGAGCUUGGGCAGCAGCUUGACUCUAGGCAGCAGCCCUGGGUCUGGCCACAGCCCCACAGCCAGGGUCAGCCUGCACUGCUGCCUGGAGCCCAGCUCAACAGUACAGAUACCCCCAGAGCCCUGCACAACUGUCCCACUGCUAACCUGUGACCCCCUCCGCCCGCCCUCCAGGAGUCACCAACCCCAAGUUCCCUGGCUGCCUCUCCUUUGACCAGGGAACUUUAGGGUCGCCCAACUGUCCCCUCACUCACCUAUGACCCUUAACCAACCCUGCUUCCCCCAGGGCCCUUCCCUGCACUCCAACUCCAGCCUCUAGGACUCAGCCUCCCUGCUGGGGACCCAGAGCUCUGCGGAACAGUUUGAGGAAGCUCUCAGCCAAGAUUCCAGCCCUGCAGGGGCUGCUGCAGCGCACACAC
RNAcentral lists this long non-coding RNA (508 nucleotides) under Pan troglodytes (chimpanzee). Its description in RNAcentral is "long non-coding RNA NONPTRT008476". The record is from RNAcentral. Lineage: Eukaryota; Metazoa; Chordata; Mammalia; Primates; Hominidae.